RNAcentral lists this ribosomal RNA (446 nucleotides) under uncultured bacterium. Its description in RNAcentral is "partial 16S ribosomal RNA". It matches the Rfam family "Bacterial small subunit ribosomal RNA", at positions 338 to 795 of the family's 1533-position model. The record is from RNAcentral.
CCUACGGGAGGCAGCAGUCGAGAAUCAUUCACAAUGGGGGAAACCCUGAUGGAGCGACGCCGCGUGGGGGAAUGAAGGUCUGCGGAUUGUAAACCCCUGUCAUGUGGGAGCAAAUUAAAAAGAUAGUACCACAAGAGGAAGAGACGGCUAACUCUGUGCCAGCAGCCGCGGUAAUACAGAGGGCUCAAGCGUUGUUCGGAACCACUGGGCGUAAAGCGUGCGUAGGCGGUUUCUUAAGUCGUGUGUGAAAGGCGCGGGCUCAACCCGCGGACGGCACCUGAUAAUGCGAGACUAGAGUGAUGGAGGGGGAACCGGAAUUCUCGGUGUAGCAGUGAAAUGCGUAGAUAUCGAGAGGAACACUCGUGGCGAAGGCGGGUUCCUGGACAUUAACUGACGCUGAGGCACGAAGGCCAGGGGAGCGAAAGGGAUUAGAUACCCGAGUAGUC